This is a long non-coding RNA of Balaenoptera acutorostrata (minke whale), 6195 nucleotides long. RefSeq lists it as uncharacterized. The transcript has 4 exons. Lineage: Eukaryota; Metazoa; Chordata; Mammalia; Artiodactyla; Balaenopteridae. The record is from RefSeq and is a predicted model, not a curated record.
CAUCUGCGGAGCUGGGCCUGGAAAGACCCCCAUGUGUCGGGAGGGUGUGGAGGUCAGAGAGACUCCAGUUGGGAAGAAAGAGUAACCGCCCCAAGAGACACAUGGCUGUCAAAGUUUAAGAAAGUUAAGGUAGGUUUGGAGCAACGCUGCUGGGCGGUCCCUCGGCAGAGCGUGCCUCUGUGAGUCGCCUCUGUGUCCUCCGUUCGCUGGUGGAGGGGAGCAGGCGCGAGGUGGGCUUCUGGGUCGGUGAGGGGCCGGCGCCCAGUGGGGCAGCGCUGGCGAGGGAAGGGGGUGCAUUUCAGAUCCCUGCUCUCGGAGCUCUGCUGCUCAGGGUCGUAAGACCCUCCAAAUACGAUAGACAGACGCUGUCGGGUAACAUAAACCUGGUUCCGUGAGAAGGAAUUUGUGUGUGUUCAUCUCAAAACGUGGGCAAUAGAAGGAAUUUGCAGUGAAGACACUGGCUUGUAACGAGAUGAUGCGAGUUACCAAACUUCCAAAUGGUGACGUUUAUUACUAAAAGGAGCGAAAUUUUUCUUUAAUCUCGACAGUGUCUCUCACUUGCGGAUAGUGAAGAAUGUAGUAAUGGUAUGAUUUAAACAGUUAUAUUCGUUAAGGAAAGUUAUUUUCAUUUCGGAAGCAACCAAGCCAUUUUUCCAGCUAAAACAAGGGAAGAAAGGCAAAGGUAACGUUUUAACCGCUUCAUCAGUGAGAAAAAUCAGAACACAGUCGACAUUGCCUUUUUGUCAAUGUGCAAAACGAUUGCCUGUAUUAACAGACAGUUUACAUGUACCAGGACAUAAGGAGGGAGAAAAGAAAGAGACCGACGUGUGAGAGAAUGCACAGGAGGGCAUCUGCGUCAGGUUAGUGGCUUCACCUCUGGAGUGAGGGCCCACCUGCACGGAACGGACCGUGUGGGUUUACUUCAGUCAGGCUACGUCAGGGGGCGUUUCUUUGGAGAUGGCGGAUGGUACCCAUAAGUAGGGUCCCGCUGGAGGACAUUGUCAGGGAAGCACGAGAUCAGCAUCAGCGGCACAUCUGCCCACACGUGAGCCACGGUUCUGCAGCGCGGGGCGGACCGCCACGCAGCAGGCCCGGCGGUGAGUGCAGGCCGCAUUGCUGUCACUGGAGCUGGGCUCCCGAGAGGCCCAGUGGGAAGAGCUGGGGGUCCCAGGGGUGCAGGAGCAGCACGGGGGGAGGCGGGCCCCUGCCCCCUGCAUUCACGCCCGUCUCCUCGCUGUACCUGCCCCCGGUGUUGGGAAGCCCUUGCUGGGGCAGUGGAGCGCGGCCCUUCCUGCCCCGUCCCUGCCCCGUCCCUGCCCUUUGCGGGCCUGGUGUGGGGUGGGAGUCACUCACUGAGCGGCAGUCGGCUGCCUGAUGGUCCUGUUGAUGGCGUUCAAGGGGGGGGGGGGGACCCUUGGGCCAGGCCCGCCUCUUGGUCACGGUUGAACACAAUACCUGCCGGAAAACCCUCGGUCUCUUCUGUGGUCCACACGCAGGAGGCCCUGGGAUACCAGUGUGCUCUGCUCUGAAGGGACCAGGAAUUCUCACGCCUGCCUUGGGUGUGUCAAGCGCUGACCUCUCAGGAAGAGCCUGGUGCCUGUCUGACCGUCCUGGCAGGCGUGGAGUGAGUUACUGAAAUGGGCUGAACGAGGAACCGCCAGCGGGUGGAGGGCAGGGUCCAGCCGAGGCCCGUCUCGGCCACUCCUUGGGGCCUCCAGGGUUGGGAUUGUGCUGUCACCGUGUUGCCAGGCAGCGGCUGCGCACCUGGAGACCUGCACCCACCUGUGACAGGCAGGACGGGAAGGGUGUGCACAUGUGAUAGCCGUGUGAGCCCCGGCUUACCGUGAGGGGUGUGUGUUGGGGGCAGCGAGGUGGGCGCGAGAGGGGUGCUGCCCCAGACCCAGGCCCGAGCCUGCUCACCGAGGCUCGCCCGGGGCUGGCUGCGUCCACACUGUGACCCACCCCCGGGGGUGCCUGCUUCCCUGAGGUGUGGGACGAUCUGGAACAAAAUGUGUUGCCCGUUUGCAUCCCAGGCUCUUCCACGUUGGGGUGGAAGCAGACUCCAGAAGCUGCGUCUGUGCUAACGCAUGCGCCGGUUCUGGGGAGCGUUUGGCAUUGCUUCCAUCGUCCUCAGGGGUGUCCACCUGCUUUGGGCCCCCCUCCGUGCGGCCGUCUCCUUCCUGCUGUUCCCCUGGGUGCCCGGCAGCCCCUGCUGGAGGACGGGCCCCAGCAUCUUGGUGCCCGGCGCCUCAUACCCACCCUCGAGGGUGGUCCACGUCCUUGAGGUCAUGUUGUCCAGGCUCGUGGACAUGCUGUACAAGAGCAGCUUCGUUCUCUGGUUUUACACAAAGGCAGCUGCACUUUUUCUUCUUUGAAGGCUGAGUUAGUGACACUAGUCGGCACUUGGGACCGGUGGUUUUUCAGUCUUCGCUUCCUGCCCGUUUCCUGACACCUGGACAGCCCUGGGCAGGAGAGCGAGACUGACCAGGCCCUGAGCCGGGCUUCCCCUCCCUUCUGCGCCCUCGUCUGGACUCUCGGUCCCCCUACGUAACUGACCAGCAGCACAUCCUCGUCCCGGGCAAGAUUAACAGUGACUCUGUCGUGGUGCUGACUCGAUGUCACGACAGGACAAGCUGGAGGCUGUCGGUGGACUGCGGGUGGGCGGCCCGUGUGGCAGUGAGAAGAGAGGUCGUGACGCCUGGGAGGCACCUUUACGACGGGGUGUGGACAGUCCUUGUAUUUGGAGCCCUCUCAGCCCUCCCCUGGAACGGCUUCAGCCACGGGCAUUGCGUUUUUGUGGCCACGCUGAGCUUUUCUGCAUGGACACCAUCUUCCUCGUCAGUCAUUUGGGUGCAGGUGUCGCAUACCCUGUGCAGCGUCCUCUCCCGCUCUUGCAGGUGAGGUGCGGGUGCAGCUUCCCAGCCUGGGGGUGGGGGAUGGCCGGGCGGCGGGGGGGUGGCCUGUCCCCCACUCCCCGGCUCAGCGCAGGUAACUCAAUUUCUCAGCCUCUGGUUUCCACAUUUCAAGCACGGAAGCAGCUGUUAGGGGAGAAGAUGACUCUCACGAGGUUGCUCUGGGAUUAAUUAAAACCUGUCAGCGCUCCGCGCCACUAGGGCCUCGCGCCAGCAUCUGUUCCUGCCCCGUCCCGCGUGUCCACCAGGAACGCGCCCGGCAGGAGCGGGGUCAGCCAGCCUGGCCCAGAGGGAGCUCGCGGGCGCACCUGUCAGUAAACCCGGGCCUCCGGCAGGUAGGAAAGGCUGGCCGGGCUGAGCGAAAGCUUUAGGCCUGUCUGCAGGGCAGCCUGGCCUGCAAACCAGGUAAAAAUUAGCUUUUAGGGCCUCUCAGACGCAGUACGUCGUGGUCUCCGUGGAAUCCACUCGGAAUUCACCCGGGUGUAGGGAGAUGGCAGUAACGUGGGUGCUGCUCUGGUUUUCAGUUGUGUUACUGGCAGCCGCACAAGUGAUGGGGCGCCGGCCAGCCCCCUGGGAGCCCCCAGCCCUGAAGCCACUGCUUGCCUCAGAUGACGGGCAUUUGUGCUGUUGCUUUUCUAUGUAGCUAUGUUACCUCAGGGUGUGUGCGUGUGAGUAUGUAACCUGCCUGUGUCGGUACCAUUUUGUGUCAUGCAGUUACUGGAAUGCACAGAAGUCUUUCUUAUCUUCACAAAGCGUUGCAGACGGAAUCACCAGACACACACCCCAGCAUGGACGACGCAGAGAGCUGCGACGAGGAGCAGGCAUGUUUAUUUGGUUCCCUCCAGGGCUGCGGCAGCCACGCGGUUGUAAAAAAGGAACGGAGAGUAAGGUGUACAAAAACGUGAACUGUCCCUUUAGAAAGUAACAUCGUCAGCCGUGUAUUUCCUAUGGAUCCUCCCUCCCCCUCCUGUGUCCCCACACCCUGAAAGACCCCCAAGCGCAACCAAACUGUGAGAAGGAACAGGGGGUGAGUAUGUAACAGAAAAAAAAAACUGGAUUUAACGGGAACAUGCUCUAAUCUUUAGUUUAUUUCUGGUUAAAAAUAUAGCAAUCCAGUGCAGUGUAGUAAAGAAAUCUGCUUCAAAGGUAGCAGAGAAACAGCUGAACAUAAGCAAAGCAAGGCAGGGUCCACGGACGGCCGUGCCCAGGACCUUCCCAGGCGUGGGUGCGGGGGCCCCGUCUGGACGGGCCCGGGCCCCACAGACACAUCCAUGCAUGUGGCCGAGGCUGCUCCGUGGCUGGGACCACGGGGCAUCCAGACAGUCCGGGACCUUAUUCUUUUGUGUGGACAGUGGGACAACGCUGGCAGGGAGGGCAGACACACCGGGAACCUGGUUUGGAUUGAAACAAGGUAUGUUGCAUAUUUUGGAGAUGGAUAUGUCAUGAUUUCUCAGGAAUUGUCAAGCCACUGGGUUUCAACCACAUUCCUGUCCUGGGACCCGACCAGCUCCAGAGUAUGGAUGAGGCAUCUGGAAGAAAUAUGCAUAUCUGUGAGGGAAGUCGAGGCAGGCACAGGACAAGAAUGUGAAAACCCGUGGGCUCAGUGACACUGAGGGAGGACGACAUCGUGUGAGGGCUGUCAGGGCCGCGGACAUCUGACAGCCUGGCCGCACAUCCUGCAUCCUCAGCGCAGAAACGCCACGUGCUCCAAGCCCAGGCCCAACGGCAGGCUGUCCAAGUGAGGCCUUCCCCCACGCCCGCGCUGCUCCCUGGCCCCCUGGCCCUGGCGCCAGCCCCCUGGAUGCCCACAGCACAGCAGCCCUGGGGUCUGGGGGUGGGGGGAGACUGGGGAAAAGAAGGACUUUGCCUUCAGACUCAGUGUCGGGGCAGCGCCGGAGGGCCGGGCUGUGAUCGUUUCAUGGGCAGAAGAGAAAGCAGGUCUCUGCUUCCCUAAGUAAGUGUGCAGCACAGAUUUAAAGUAGAAAAAGGCCCAGGCCGCUGCCAGCUGGAGCGGGCGCCCUCUCCCGUGCCUCACGCCCGGGCUUGCCACCCGCUAGCCACCUCGCAGGCCGCCGGACGCUCCAGGGGCUCUGCCUCUGGUUGCCUCCUUUUCCACGUCCCAGACGGGGAUGUGACGACGGUGGUGACUGUAUUUUUUGCCAUUGAUUUGCCGGGAUCCCUUCUCUUUCCACGUCAAGCUGGAGGGUCGGCGUGCUGGCCUCCUUCUGCCAUGCCACACAGCAGAGUGUUAUACAAGCAAAGAAUUUUGGCUAAAAUCCAAAAAACAUGACCCAGAAAAAAAGGCAAACUGUGAGUAAUACCCAAUCACGUGGUUCUGUGAGAAGACCAGGAAGUUGUCGUUGGGUGUCCGAGCUACGAGCCUUCCCUUCUGUCGUUCUGCUUUUAAUGUCCCCCGUUUGUACACCAGCUGCUUUUGCUAAUGCGACAAUCUCCUCAGAUGAAAAAGUUAAUAAACAAAAUGGCGACUCCGAUGUUUAGCAAGAUCACCAUGGCGACCAGGAUAGGCGCCGAGCCCUGGAACGGAAGCAAAAGAGGGGAGGUGAGCCCAAGGCCACACCCCCUCCUCCUGAGCGAAACUAGGGCUUCCCAGAGGGUCGGGGGAACGGAAGUCUCAGGCAGUGGUCAGAGGCUCCCACGAGCUUCUCAGUGUGGAGUCCUUGGGGCUUUGACCCUUUCAGACCUGCGUGCCUGGGUCCCGGCAUAACCACCCGAGCUCUGCACACCUGGGACGCCAGGGGCAGCCCGCCCAGCGUGGCCCCAGACCUGGCGACGGGAGAGCCCUCUCAGUUCAGUGAACAACUGCCCAGGAGCUGCGCAGCCGCCAGGAGCCCCUCGCUCUCCUGGGGCACGAGCCCACCUGGCGCUUAGACCACAGCCUCUCCCCCCCAGACCCGCCGUCCUUGAGCCUCUGCAGUGACGGUGCCAAGGCCACGGUGCUGGACAAGGAGGAGGGGCGCCAGCCGCCCCGACCACCCCGGGCCUCUGCUGGAAGCCCCCUCCUGUGGAACCACUCAGCGGCCUGGGGGACUCUGUCCCUCUCACCCACGUGGGAGCCAGACCCGUGUGUGUCCUGCCUGCUCUGGCCUCUGUGUUUCCCUCCAGGACGCAGGACGUCCCUCCAAGCGCCACCGGUGAGGACCUCUGGGGCGGAGAGAAGGUCAAGUCCCAGCGCAGCAGCCGGGGCUCCGCCCGGUCCCCCAGCCGCAGGCUCUCCAGCCUCUGAACGGCCGGCUCCGUGCACGAGGCCGGCCUGGCGUGCUCC